CCUACGGGUGGCAGCAGUCGAGAAUCAUUCACAAUGGGGGAAACCCUGAUGGGGCGACGCCGCGUGGGGGAAUGAAGGUCUGCGGAUUGUAAACCCCUGUCAUGUGGGAGCAAAUUAAAAAGAUAGUACCACAAGAGGAAGAGACGGCGAACGCGGUGCCAGCAGCCGCGGUAAUACAGAGGUCUCAAGCGUUGUUCGGAAUCACUGGGCGUAAAGGGUGCGUAGGCAGUUUCGUAAGUCGUGUGUGAAAGGCGCGGGCGCAACCCGCGGACGGCACAUGAUACUGCGAGACUAGCGUAAUGGAGGGGGAACCGGACUUCUCGGUGUAGCCG
Molecule: ribosomal RNA, 332 nt
Filed under: uncultured bacterium
Lineage: Bacteria
Description: partial 16S ribosomal RNA
Rfam family: Bacterial small subunit ribosomal RNA
Source: RNAcentral